Molecule: microRNA, 24 nt
Filed under: Oryza sativa (Asian cultivated rice)
Lineage: Eukaryota; Viridiplantae; Streptophyta; Magnoliopsida; Poales; Poaceae
Also listed under: 1 other name
Description: osa-miR1879
Source: miRBase by way of RNAcentral
GUGUUUGGUUUAGGGAUGAGGUGG